GAUGAACGCUGGCGGCGUGCCUAAUACAUGCAAGUCGAGCGAACGGACGAGAAGCUUGCUUCUCUGAUGUUAGCGGCGGACGGGUGAGUAACACGUGGAUAACCUACCUAUAAGACUGGGAUAACUUCGGGAAACCGGAGCUAAUACCGGAUAAUAUUUUGAACCGCAUGGUUCAAAAGUGAAAGACGGUCCUGCUGUCACUUAUAGAUGGAUCCGCGCUGCAUUAGCUAGUUGGUAAGGUAACGGCUUACCAAGGCAACGAUGCAUAGCCGACCUGAGAGGGUGAUCGGCCACACUGGAACUGAGACACGGUCAAGACGCCUACGGGAGGCAGCAGUAGGGAAUCUUCCGCAAUGGGCGAAAGCCUGACGGAGCAACGCCGCGUGAGUGAUGAAGGUCUUCGGAUCGUAAAACUCUGUUAUGAGGGAAGAACAUAUGUGUAAGUAACUGUGCACAUCUUGACGGUACCUAAUCAGAAAGCCACGGCUAACUACGUG
Molecule: ribosomal RNA, 497 nt
Filed under: uncultured bacterium
Lineage: Bacteria
Description: partial 16S ribosomal RNA
Rfam family: Bacterial small subunit ribosomal RNA
Source: RNAcentral